Molecule: ribosomal RNA, 206 nt
Filed under: uncultured delta proteobacterium
Lineage: Bacteria; Deltaproteobacteria
Description: partial 16S ribosomal RNA
Rfam family: Bacterial small subunit ribosomal RNA
Source: RNAcentral
GGUGUAGGUGGCUUUGUAAGUCAGAUGUGAAAGCCCAGGGCUAACCCUGGAAGUGCAUUUGAUACUGCGAAGCUUGAGUGCCGGAGAGGUUAUUGGAAUUCCUGGUGUAGUGGUGAAAUACGUAGAUAUCAGGAGGAAUACCAGAGGCGAAGGCGGAUAACUGGCCGGACACUGACACUCAGACCCGAAAGCGUGGGGAUCAAACA